Molecule: ribosomal RNA, 253 nt
Filed under: uncultured bacterium
Lineage: Bacteria
Description: partial 16S ribosomal RNA
Rfam family: Bacterial small subunit ribosomal RNA
Source: RNAcentral
UACAGAGGUGGCAAGCGUUGUUCGGAAUUACUGGGCGUAAAGGGCGUGUAGGCGGUCGCCUAAGUCAGACGUGAAAUCCCCAAGCUUAACUUGGGAACUGCGUCUGAUACUGGGUGGCUUGAGUUCGGGAGAGGAAUGUGGAAUUCCAGGUGUAGCGGUGAAAUGCGUAGAUAUCUGGAGGAACACCGGUGGCGAAGGCGGCAUUCUGGACCGAAACUGACGCUUAAGCGCGAAAGCGUGGGGAGCAAACAGG